Molecule: long non-coding RNA, 752 nt
Filed under: Rattus norvegicus (Norway rat)
Lineage: Eukaryota; Metazoa; Chordata; Mammalia; Rodentia; Muridae
Description: long non-coding RNA NONRATT030575
Source: RNAcentral
GAAGACUGUCGGAUCCUGUGAAGCUGGAGUUACAGGCAGUUGUGAGUGCUCGGACAUGGGUUCUAGGCACCAAACUCAGGUCUUGUGGAAAGGCUGGAAUCACCAUCUCUGCAGCUCAAUUAUUGUUAUUUUUAAUAAUUUUCUGGUCAUGUGGGAAAAUGUACAUGAGUAAAGAUUUGUUGAAGCAUUCAGAGAUGAAAUAAAGCAUGAAGAAAUAAAUUCAAACAGGUCAGAGAAAGUAUAGGUAAAUAUAAGAACAGAUUAAAUACAGCAACGUAUUACCACUGUUGACCCAGUAAGGAAGACAUACCUCAGUGUCCAUACAGCUCUGAACAUUUCUGUAUAUUAGUAAAUGUUCAAUUUAAAAAAUAUUAGGACUAGAAAGAUGGCUCGGUGGUUAAGAGCUCUGGCUAUUCUUUCAGAAGACUCAGGUUCAGUUCUCAGCACCCGUUUGGUACACAUACAUACAUGCAGGCAAAAUGCUCAGAACACAUCAAAUAAAAUAAUACUUUUCAAAAAUCUAUAUUUGUGGCAUGGUGGUACCACAGCAUGCAUGUCAAGGUCAGAGGACAGUCUUGGUUUACAGACCUCACUUUCUACACUGUUUAAAGCAAGGUCUAUUGUUCCCCACUGUGUAUACCAGGAUAUCUGCCUCCCAAACAUCCUGAAAUUCUCCAGUGCCUCCCAUCCUGCCCUAGGAGUGAUGACGUUAUAGAUAAGGGCUACUGUGCCUGGUUUUAUGUGUGUUCUAG